Molecule: ribosomal RNA, 253 nt
Filed under: uncultured bacterium
Lineage: Bacteria
Description: partial 16S ribosomal RNA
Rfam family: Bacterial small subunit ribosomal RNA
Source: RNAcentral
UACGGAGGAGGCAAGCGUUAUCCGGAAUUAUUGGGCGUAAAGAGUCCGUAGGUGGCGAUUCAAGUCUGCUGUCAAAGCGUGGAGCUCAACUCCAUUAAGGCAGUGGAAACUGAAUGGCUAGAGUCCGGUAGGGGUAGCGGGAAUUCCCAGUGUAGCGGUGAAAUGCGUAGAGAUUGGGAAGAACAUCGGUGGCGAAAACGCGCUACUGGGCCGGAACUGACACUGAGGGACGAAAGCUAGGGGAGCGAAAGGG